This 541-nucleotide long non-coding RNA is filed under the name Gossypium raimondii (Peruvian cotton). RNAcentral's name for it is "long non-coding RNA (GRAI_LNC005642)". The record is from RNAcentral. Lineage: Eukaryota; Viridiplantae; Streptophyta; Magnoliopsida; Malvales; Malvaceae.
CUAGAUAGACCGAAACAAAAGAUAAGGGGAAACACUUGAAAUUUCGAAAACAAAACAAAAAGAGAAUUGAAGGGGCAAAUGGAAGCAAUGGGGGAUUUUGGCUGAAAACAAAAGAAAAAGAAAAGGUGGAGAGGGAAAAAUUCGGCAGGUAGAGGGAAAGCACUUGAAAUCUCGACAGCAACACAAGAAGAUUGAAGUCAAGAGAAAACGAAAAGGGGGUGGGGAAGAAAAUGACAGAAUUCGACUAUGGAGGCAGAAAAAAAUAAAAAAUAAAAAUGAAAGAUUGUAAAGGAGAGCUUUGCAGAGAUUUUUGAAAUCAAAGGGUAACUCCCCAAACUCCUUGAUUUACUCCACUAAGCCACAUCCAUUCCAACCACUCAGCAUCCUAGUCCAACUCAAACGCCUUCACUCCUUACUUUUCUCCCCAAAUCCCUCAAUCCACUCCCCAAAAACCGUCCACCCCUCCCUCAACCACCUAAUUCAAAUUCCACUCCAACUCUUAAGUAUCUUGGUUAGACUAAAACACCCACACGACACUAGC